CAAUACACAGUUUCAAAAAUUUGAAAGAGGGUUGUUAUAUUAUUAUUAUUGGUACAGAUUACUUCACAACUAUUGACUGGUUGUAGAAGAAUAUUAUAAAGAAAACAUUUAAAUUCUUUCAGCUUAUAUAUAUAUAUAAAUACUUGCUGGGCACUCAAAUGCUCAUCCUUGCUUAAUUUAAAUGUUUUCAGCUAAGUGUGAAA
RNAcentral lists this long non-coding RNA (203 nucleotides) under Panax ginseng (ginseng). Its description in RNAcentral is "long non-coding RNA (PGIN_LNC010117)". Lineage: Eukaryota; Viridiplantae; Streptophyta; Magnoliopsida; Apiales; Araliaceae. The record is from RNAcentral.